This 65-nucleotide transfer RNA is filed under the name Bos taurus (domestic cattle). It matches the Rfam family "tRNA". From Rfam's summary of the family: Transfer RNA (tRNA) molecules are approximately 80 nucleotides in length. Lineage: Eukaryota; Metazoa; Chordata; Mammalia; Artiodactyla; Bovidae. The record is from Rfam by way of RNAcentral. RNAcentral also lists the same sequence under 3 other names.
GACUCAGUGGUUAAAAGAUAAAAUCUGCCUGCAAAGCAGGAGACUUGGGUUCAAUCCCUGGGUCA